This 490-nucleotide ribosomal RNA is filed under the name uncultured bacterium. Its description in RNAcentral is "partial 16S ribosomal RNA". It matches the Rfam family "Bacterial small subunit ribosomal RNA", at positions 30 to 507 of the family's 1533-position model. The record is from RNAcentral.
AUUGAACGCUGGCGGCAGGCCUAACACAUGCAAGUCGAACGGUAACAGGAAGCAGCUUGCUGCUUUGCUGACGAGUGGCGGACGGGUGAGUAAUGUCUGGGAAACUGCCUGAUGGAGGGGGAUAACUACUGGAAACGGUAGCUAAUACCGCAUAACGUCGCAAGACCAAAGAGGGGGACCUUAGGGCCUCUUGCCAUCGGGUGUGCCCAGAUGGGAUUAGCUAGUAGGUGGGGUAACGGCUCACCUAGGCGACGAUCCCUAGCUGGUCUGAGAGGAUGACCAGCCACACUGGAACUGAGACACGGUCCAGACUCCUACGGGAGGCAGCAGUGGGGAAUAUUGCACAAUGGGCGCAAGCCUGAUGCAGCCAUGCCGCGUGUAUGAAGAAGGCCUUCGGGUUGUAAAGUACUUUCAGCGGGGAGGAAGGGAGUAAAGUUAAUACCUUUGCUCAUUGACGUUACCCGCAGAAGAAGCACCGGCUAACUCCGUG